AGAGUGGAGGACUGGCCUGGGAAAUCGGGCAGAGAGAGGAGUUGUCGGAAAGAACACACCAGAAGCCCCUCCGAGCCCAGACACUGAUAGAAACCCAGCCGCUUCCCAAGCCAAUCUGCAAACCCAGGAGGCACCCACGAGUGCACAGACACACCCCCGGGGUGCAGGCGCGGUGAAGGGAGGAGAGGGGCAAGAGCUUGACCGUUAGGGCCCGAACCCCAGAACUCCCGAGGCAGGAUUUUAUAGGUUCAGAAAGUGUGUCUCAGAGGAGUUAGAGAAGACCGAUUAAUAGAUGACAGUGCUAAAGCCUGGAUCUCCUGAAUCCUGGAUGAAAGUGUCCUAAGUUAGAUUCCUGGGAAGAAAAUUCUGAGACACAUUCUGCAGGAUGAUUAUUAGGGCUCAUCCUUGGUUUCAACACCCAUAGAAGGAAGGGGGAAGAAGAAAUCGAACAGAGAGACAGAAGUCGAGAUGCAUUUCAGGCCAGGACUCUUGGCUGAACCCACAGGAGCUCUGGAGCUAGAAUGGCCCUUCAGAGUUGUCCUGAGUUGGUCUGAGAUGGCCAGUUCUUUAUAUUCCUGCAUGGGAUAGUCACUGGAUGUCCACCCCAGGAAGGGGUGUGGCCAAGACAGUCCCUAAAAUGCCCGCCAGCACUCCCUACACCUGGAGCGACAAGACCAACAUCACAGGGGGAAUGCACUGGGUGAUGGAUCACAGCG
Homo sapiens (human) is the source of this 716-nucleotide long non-coding RNA. Ensembl annotates it as ELOVL2 antisense RNA 1. Its record names the gene ELOVL2-AS1. The record is from Ensembl. NCBI's taxonomy places the organism in Eukaryota, Metazoa, Chordata, Mammalia, Primates, Hominidae.